RNAcentral lists this ribosomal RNA (469 nucleotides) under uncultured bacterium. RNAcentral describes it as "SSU rRNA". It matches the Rfam family "Bacterial small subunit ribosomal RNA", at positions 26 to 518 of the family's 1533-position model. The record is from RNAcentral.
AGGAUAAACGCUGGCGGCGUGCCUAACACAUGCAAGUCGAACGCGCUUUUUCGCAAGAGGAGAGCGAGUGGCGGACGGGUGAGUAACACAUGGGUACCUACCUUGGAGUGAGGGAUACCGGCGAGAAAUCGCCGACAAUACCGCAUACGCUUCUCUUCACCGGGAAGCAAAGUUGCGCAAGCGACGCUCUGAGAUGGGCCUGUGGCCGAUUAGCUAGUUGGUGGGGUAACGGCCUACCAAGGCGACGAUCGGUAGCUGGUCUGAGAGGACGAUCAGCCACACUGGGAUUGAGAACGGCCCAGACUCCUACGGGGGCAGCAGUGAGGAAUUUUCCGCAAUGGACGCAAGUCUGACGGAGCAACGCCGCGUGCAGGAUGAAGGUUUUCGGAUCGUAAACUGCUUUUCGUCGGGGACGAGCAAGGACGGUACCCGAGGAAGAAGCCCCGGCUAACUACGUGCCAGCAGCCGC